Molecule: ribosomal RNA, 433 nt
Filed under: uncultured Glomus
Lineage: Eukaryota; Fungi; Glomeromycota; Glomeromycetes; Glomerales; Glomeraceae
Description: SSU rRNA
Rfam family: Eukaryotic small subunit ribosomal RNA
Source: RNAcentral
AGCAGCCGCGGUAAUUCCAGCUCCAAUAGCGUAUAUUAAAGUUGCUGCAGUUAAAAAGCUCGUAGUUGAAUUUCGGGACCAUCAUGUCGGUCGUGCCUCGGUACGUACUGGUAUUGUUGGUUUCUCCCUUCUGACGAACCAUGAUGUCAUUUAUUUGGUGUUGUGGGGAAUCAGGACUGUUACUUUGAAAAAUUAGAGUGUUUAAAGCAGGCUCACGCUUGAAUACAUUAGCAUGGAAUAAUGAAAUAGGACGUUUGAUUCUAUUUUGUUGGUUUCUAGGAUCGACGUAAUGAUUAAUAGGGAUAGUUGGGGGCAUUAGUAUUCAAUUGUCAGAGGUGAAAUUCUUGGAUUUAUUGAAGACUAACUACUGCGAAAGCAUUUGCCAAGGAUGUUUUCAUUAAUCAAGAACGAAAGUUAGGGGAUCGAAGACGAU